GUAGGUGGCAAGCGUUGUCCGGAAUUAUUGGGCGUAAAGCGCGCGCAGGCGGUCCUUUAAGUCUGAUGUGAAAGCCCACGGCUCAACCGUGGAGGGUCAUUGGAAACUGGGGGACUUGAGUACAGAAGAGGAAAGCGGAAUUCCAAGUGUAGCGGUGAAAUGCGUAGAGAUUUGGAGGAACACCAGUGGCGAAGGCGGCUUUCUGUCUGUAACUGACGCUGAGGCGCGAAAGCGUGGGGAGCAAACAGGGAUUAGAUACCCUGGUAGUCCACGCCGUAAACGAUGAGUGCUAAGUGUUAGGGGGUUUCCCGCCCCUUAGUGCUGCAGCUAACGCAUUAAGCACUCCGCCUGGGGAUACGGCCGCAAGGCUG
This 371-nucleotide ribosomal RNA is filed under the name uncultured organism. RNAcentral's name for it is "partial 16S ribosomal RNA". It matches the Rfam family "Bacterial small subunit ribosomal RNA", at positions 527 to 896 of the family's 1533-position model. The record is from RNAcentral.